GAAAUGCGAUAAGUAAUGUGAAUUGCAGAAUUCAGUGAAUCAUCGAAUCUUUGAACGCACAUUGCGCCCGCCAGUAUUCUGGCGGGCAUGCCUGUUCGAGCGUCAUUACAACCCUCAGGCCACCGGGCCUGGCGUUGGGGAUCGGCGGAAGCCCCCUGCGGGCACAACGCCGUCCCCCAAAUACAGUGGCGGUCCCGCCGCAGCUUCCAUUGCGUAGUAGCUAACACCUCGCAACUGGAGAGCGGCGCGGCCACGCCGUAAAACACCCAACUUCUGAAUGUUGACCUCGAAUCAGGUAGGAAUACCCGCUGAACUUAAGC
This 320-nucleotide unclassified non-coding RNA is filed under the name plant metagenome. RNAcentral's name for it is "partial contains 5.8S ribosomal RNA, internal transcribed spacer 2, and large subunit ribosomal RNA". The stretch from base 1 to 105 matches the Rfam family "5.8S ribosomal RNA", at positions 50 to 154 of the family's 154-position model. The record is from RNAcentral.